UAAAACCUGCAGGAUAUUAUCCCACAUCUUCUGAAUGCAACCC
This 43-nucleotide transfer RNA is filed under the name Paramesotriton ermizhaoi (Ermi Zhao warty newt). RNAcentral describes it as "partial tRNA-Ala". Lineage: Eukaryota; Metazoa; Chordata; Amphibia; Caudata; Salamandridae. The record is from RNAcentral.